This 843-nucleotide ribosomal RNA is filed under the name Pseudogymnoascus sp. RNAcentral's name for it is "partial large subunit ribosomal RNA". It matches the Rfam family "Eukaryotic large subunit ribosomal RNA", at positions 83 to 947 of the family's 3401-position model. Lineage: Eukaryota; Fungi; Ascomycota; Leotiomycetes; Thelebolales; Thelebolaceae. The record is from RNAcentral.
GUAACGGCGAGUGAAGCGGUAACAGCUCAAAUUUGAAAUCUGGCCUCACGGUCCGAGUUGUAAUUUGUAGAGGAUGCUUCGAGCAUGGUCUGGCCUAAGUUCCUUGGAACAGGACGUCAUAGAGGGUGAGAAUCCCGUAUGCGGCCAGGUGCCUACGCUCAUGUGAAGCUCCUUCGACGAGUCGAGUUGUUUGGGAAUGCAGCUCAAAAUGGGUGGUAAAUUUCAUCUAAAGCUAAAUAUUGGCCAGAGACCGAUAGCGCACAAGUAGAGUGAUCGAAAGAUGAAAAGCACUUUGGAAAGAGAGUUAAACAGUACGUGAAAUUGUUGAAAGGGAAGCGCUUGCAACCAGACUUGCGCGCGGCCGAUCAUCCGGUGUUCUCACCGGUGCACUCGGCCGUGCUCAGGCCAGCAUCGGUUUUGGCGGCUGGAUAAAGGCCCUAGGAAUGUAGCUCCUCUCGGGGAGUGUUAUAGCCUAGGGUGCAAUGCAGCCUGCUGGGACCGAGGACCGCGCUUCGGCUAGGAUGCUGGCGUAAUGGUUGUAAGCGGCCCGUCUUGAAACACGGACCAAGGAGUCUAACAUCUAUGCGAGUGUUUGGGUGUCAAACCCAUACGCGUAAUGAAAGUGAACGGAGGUGAGAACCCUUAAGGGUGCAUCAUCGACCGGUCCUGAAGUUUACGGAAGGAUCUGAGUAAGAGCAUAGCUGUUGGGACCCGAAAGAUGGUGAACUAUGCCUGAAUAGGGUGAAGCCAGAGGAAACUCUGGUGGAGGCUCGCAGCGGUUCUGACGUGCAAAUCGAUCGUCAAAUUUGGGUAUAAGGGCGAAAGACUAAUCGAACCAUCUAG